RNAcentral lists this transfer RNA (72 nucleotides) under Heterocephalus glaber (naked mole-rat). It matches the Rfam family "tRNA". Rfam says of the family: Transfer RNA (tRNA) molecules are approximately 80 nucleotides in length. Their secondary structure includes four short double-helical elements and three loops (D, anti-codon, and T loops). The record is from Rfam by way of RNAcentral. Lineage: Eukaryota; Metazoa; Chordata; Mammalia; Rodentia; Bathyergidae.
UGGAAUGUAGAGCAGUGGUAGAGCAUUUGCUUAGCAUGCAUGAGACCCAGGGUUCAAUUCCCAGCACUGCAA